ACUUUGUUGUACGCGGAUUAAGACGUUCGGAAUAGUGUAUUGAUUUUAAGAUGGUUUUGUGAAAACUGUUACAUAAAUAACUUAAGUGAUAAUGGUAACUUGAACAUCAGACUUGCUGAUGCGCUGUAUCUUCAUAAAAAUGAUAUGAAAAUUGAUUCCGAUCAGUGCAAAACUUUACAAAUUAAAUGGUAUUCUGUAUUCGCGAGCAUAACUUUUAGUGCGUGAGUGUUGUGCAAAAGUGCAGAACAUCCUAACAAAGAGAGCAAUGAAAUGCGGAACCAUCAUCUGCACAAUGAAACAUUUUGCUACCAAAAGUAGCGCUUUCAACAAGAAUGGGCAUUUCUUCACAAUACUCGGAAUUGCAAAGAUAUAACAAAUGAAUGAAAACCGCCAGAAAUUCGGGAAUAAUAUAAUAGCGUUUGAAACAGGAGAGGCGGUCGCCACGCUAUAUAUGCCAGCUAAUUUGAUUUAUUGAAUAAAUUUCAAAUAAUUUUAUUUACGAUUGUUACUGUAGGUAAAUGCAUAUGAAACU
Molecule: long non-coding RNA, 532 nt
Organism: Dendroctonus ponderosae (mountain pine beetle)
Lineage: Eukaryota; Metazoa; Arthropoda; Insecta; Coleoptera; Curculionidae
Exons: 4
Source: RefSeq, a predicted model, not a curated record